GACGAACCGUCCAAACGUUAUUCGGAAUUACUGGGCUUAAAGGGUGCGUAGGCGGCGCGGUAAGUUGGGUGUGAAAUCCCUCGGCUCAACCGGGGAAUUGCGCCCAAAACUAUCGUGCUUGAGGGAGACAGAGGUGAGCGGAACUGAUGGUGGAGCGGUGAAAUGCGUUGAUAUCAUCAGGAACACCGGUGGCGAAAGCGGCUCACUGGGUCUUUUCUGACGCUGAGGCACGAAAGCUAGGGUAGCGAACGGG
This 253-nucleotide unclassified non-coding RNA is filed under the name uncultured Pirellulaceae bacterium. RNAcentral describes it as "contains 16S-23S intergenic spacer region". It matches the Rfam family "Bacterial small subunit ribosomal RNA", at positions 524 to 776 of the family's 1533-position model. Lineage: Bacteria; Pseudomonadati; Planctomycetota; Planctomycetia; Pirellulales; Pirellulaceae. The record is from RNAcentral.